This 452-nucleotide ribosomal RNA is filed under the name uncultured bacterium. RNAcentral's name for it is "bacterial SSU rRNA". It matches the Rfam family "Bacterial small subunit ribosomal RNA", at positions 340 to 784 of the family's 1533-position model. The record is from RNAcentral.
UACGGGAGGCAGCAGUGGGGAAUAUUGCACAAUGGGCGCAAGCCUGAUGCAGCCAUGCCGCGUGUAUGAAGAAGGCCUUCGGGUUGUAAAGUACUUUCAGCGGGGAGGAAGGCGAUGUGGUUAAUAACCGCGUCGAUUGACGUUACCCGCAGAAGAAGCACCGGCUAACUCCGUGCCAGCAGCCGCGGUAAUACGGAGGGUGCAAGCGUUAAUCGGAAUUACUGGGCGUAAAGCGCACGCAGGCGGUCUGUUAAGUCAGAUGUGAAAUCCCCGGGCUUAACCUGGGAACUGCAUUUUGAACUGGCAGGCUUGAGUCUCGUAGAGGGGGUAGAAUUCCAGGUGUAGCGGUGAAAUGCGUAGAGAUCUGGAGGAAUCCGGUGGCGAAGGCGGCCCCUGGGACGAAGACUGACGCUCAGGGUGCGAAAGCGUGGGGAGCAAACGAGGAUUAGGAU